This 626-nucleotide ribosomal RNA is filed under the name uncultured bacterium. Its description in RNAcentral is "bacterial SSU rRNA". It matches the Rfam family "Bacterial small subunit ribosomal RNA", at positions 56 to 704 of the family's 1533-position model. The record is from RNAcentral.
UGCAGUCGAGCGCACCCUUCGGGGCGAGCGGCGGACGGGUUAGUAACGCGUGGGAACAUACCCUUUUCUAUGGAAUAGCCUUUGGAAACGAAGAGUAAUACCAUAUACGCCCUACGGGGGAAAGAUUUAUCGGAGAAGGAUUGGCCCGCGUAAGAUUAGAUAGUUGGUGGGGUAAUGGCCUACCAAGUCUACGAUCUUUAGCUGGUUUUAGAGGAUGAUCAGCAACACUGGGACUGAGACACGGCCCAGACUCCUACGGGAGGCAGCAGUGGGGAAUAUUGCACAAUGGGGGCAACCCUGAUGCAGCCAUGCCGCGUGUGUGAAGAAGGCCUUCGGGUUGUAAAGCACUUUCAGUUGUGAGGAAAGGUUGAUGGUUAAUACCCAUCAGCUGUGACGUUAGCAACAGAAGAAGCACCGGCUAACUCCGUGCCAGCAGCCGCGGUAAUACGGAGGGUGCGAGCGUUAAUCGGAAUUACUGGGCGUAAAGCGCACGCAGGCGGUUAUAUAAGCUAGAUGUGAAAGCCCCGGGCUCAACCUGGGAAUAGCAUUUAGAACUGUAUGACUAGAGUCUUGGAGAGGGGAGUGGAAUUCCAGGUGUAGCGGUGAAAUGCGUAGAUAUCUGGAGG